Molecule: ribosomal RNA, 253 nt
Filed under: uncultured bacterium
Lineage: Bacteria
Description: partial 16S ribosomal RNA
Rfam family: Bacterial small subunit ribosomal RNA
Source: RNAcentral
GACAGAGGCGACAAGCGUUACUCGGAAUCACUGGGCGUAAAGGGCGCGUAGGCGGCCUAGCAAGUCUGGUGUGAAAGCCCAGGGCUCAACCCUGGAAGGGCACUGGAAACUGUUAGGCUUGAGUUCCGGAGAGGAGGGGGGAAUUCCCGGUGUAGCGGUGAAAUGCGUAGAUAUCGGGAGGAAUACCGGUGGCGAAGGCGCCCCUCUGGACGGAAACUGACGCUGAGGCGCGAAAGCGUGGGGAGCAAACAGG